Molecule: long non-coding RNA, 539 nt
Filed under: Mus musculus (house mouse)
Lineage: Eukaryota; Metazoa; Chordata; Mammalia; Rodentia; Muridae
Description: long non-coding RNA chr4:150914589-150915128
Source: RNAcentral
AGCUUCACUCCGACCCGGUUCGCAGCCGGAAAGUUUCUGGGGAGGACACUGCGGUCCCUGGGCACCCUGGGGUUACCGAGUACCGCGACCUUGCGGACUUCCGGGGCAAGAAGGCGGCUUGAAGGUGGGACGCGCUUGCUGCCGACUACUGCAAAUGGGCUGGCCAGAAAAUGACAGUUUACCGAAUUCCCUUUCUGCUUUUUACUGUUAAUUCAACGCUUAAUUAGCUCAUUGAGGACAAGUGGCCCGACCUUCCUUGGGGAACAGAUUUUGACACACAGUCAAGAUGGAUAUUAGUUAAAUAUAACUAGGACCUUUCUGUUGUAGGUUAAGCAGUGGUUCCCCCCAGGACAAAGAAAUCCUUGGGUGAGGCGUGCUUAUUUGUAGUUCUCUGAUCUGCAGAUUUGGGCAAUGACCCCUAGGUAGGCAUUACAAUUAAUAGGAAGAGUGCCAGCCACAUUUCAUCCACAUUCCACAGCUUGGCUCAACAUCUGUAGUCUCAAGGCCCUUUGUCCCAAAACAAUAAAGCUGUGUGCAUC